AGGUGGGUUUAUCAGCAAGGAGUGAGUUUGGUCGUGAAAAGCUUCAAUAAAGAAAGAAUGAAAGAAAACCUCGACAUAUUUGAUUGGGAAUUAAGUGCCGAGGAGCUGCAAAAGAUCGAACAAAUUCCACAGUAUAGAGGAAAUCGCACUGAGGUGCACGUGUCAGAGGAUGGUCCUUAUAAAUCCUUGGAGGAUCUAUGGGAUGGAGAAAUUUAAUUAAUUUAACAAUAAAGACGCAAUUAAAUCAUUAAAUAACUUAAUUUAACGCAUAGUUUGUUCCGAGUGACACUAGUUCAUACUAUGUCUAAAUACCUGCGAAGACAAUCGUGUUGCAGUUUUUUUUUUCUUUUUUCUUUUUUUUUCCUUUCUUUCCAGGCUCUAUGUGUUAAUACCCCAUACUUGUCCUAAUCUUUUCGUUUUUAGACUUUUCACAUGAAUACGUAUUGCAUGUUUAUCAAUAUUACAUUAUAACAAAUAUUAUUUUUUAACUCUACUAUUACGCUUCCAUGGCAUAAUAAUUUAAGUAGUUUUAUUGCCACCGUUUCAACAUGCGCCGCCACUGCAGAAAACCGUUUGUGGCAAGGUGAGAAAGUUCUCAUUUAGUCAAAUUAUUUAGACCUGUUAAGUAUGAAGAUUGGGUAAUUAUAACUUAAAAAAGUUGCGAUAUUAUAGUGUUUGGUAAAAAUUAACUAUUUUAAUUUAAAAAUUAAAUAAUUUUAUCCACCACUUAUAUGAUAAAAAACUUAUAAUAUUUUUAUUACUUUUGUUAAAAUAACAUUCAAAAUUAUAAUAUUUUUUUUCCUACAAUAGCUGUAACUUAAAAGUUAUAACAUCUCAAUAUAAAAUAUGACUUUAAUUUUACCUUCUGAUAUUCUGAUUGAAGUUCUCAAUUUAUGUUGUGGUUGAAAAAAUUAUGUGCGCUGAUCUGAAUCUCAUAAUGUAAAUUUGCUAACGCAAGAUUUGUUCUCUGUUAGGCAAAACAUUCUUAGGCAGUUUUGACAUUCUAAAUCUCGCAUUUUGAGCAUGAAAAUAAAUUAUCUGAGCAUACGUAAAUAAGACAAAUAAAAAUUAUAAUUGUCUCCUAAUUUUUUUAGCUUCCUAACCUUAAAAGACUAGUCACUUUGGUCAAUAACACAUAUACAAUAUAUUGUUAAAGUAAGAGUAAUUCUUUUUACAUCUGUUUAAAAUCCUUAUAUAAUUCCGUUUUUAGUUCUAUUACUAUUAGAAGUUACAUUAACGGACAAUAUGAAUUUAAAAAAAAAUAAAAUCUUUACCCCUACAGAUUAUGAAUCCUCCCAUCUUCAAAUCCCAAUUUAUGAUAUAAUUAUUUUUGUUUACAAAUUCAAAAUAGAUUUGAGAUAAUGAAGAAAUAAAAUUACCUAGUGAUAAGAUUUUUAUUUUAAAAAAUUAUAUUUAAAAUUUGAUUUACUCCAUUAUAAUGUUUAAUCGUUUUUCUAAAUUUUUUUACAAUAGUAGGUGCAAAUAAAUGGUUUCGCAACAGUAUAAAAGGGUUUUGAUUGCAAUUAAGAUCCGAAGCCGAAAAAGGCCCAAAAUGCAAGCCCAUUAUCAUCAGGAGCUCUCGAUAAAUGAAGUUCUCAAAGGUUUCCAAAAGCCCAAUGGCAAGGUCAUGUGCAAAAGGCUCCCAUUUAAGUCCCUUGCCCGAAGAGAAACACUCGACGGUUCUCAAAAUGGAAGGCUGGUUUGUGGCAUCUGUUUAAGCUGUCUCACAGCAGGAACCGUGAAGCCAAUUUGCAGACGUCAAAAGGGGGGUUUAUCAUUAAAAUUAUAGUAUGUCAACUCGGAAGUGAUGCUGAAUUUAGAAGUAUUUCAUAAAUUUUGAGUCUCAUAUGCAAUCCGACACAAAUUAAAUCACUUUAAACCUAAAGAAGAGAGUAAAUAAUUAAAGUAUUGUAAAGGGUAAGCGAAAAUAAAUAUCUUACGUGGUUAGAUAAUAUUGAUAUAUAUUCACAACUCUGAAAGGUAAAAAAAAUUGUGUAGCUGAGAUGGUGUUCCCCACACUCUAUAGAUAGGAUGCACAAAAUCUUUUAUGUUAAAUAAUAUAAUUUCAUUUAAUUAAUUUGCGGGUUUCAAUACUGAGGUGGUGUAUUCAUCUCAUAUAAGUUUUCUCUCCUUUGAAAGAAAACAAAUUAUAAACUUAAUUUUUUUUCAUUAACAAAAACCAAGAAUUAAAACUUACCUCCAAAUUUUCUCUCAACAAUAUCCAAUUCAAACGAUACAAUUUGAUCUCAUGUGUUGCUCAUGGCAGAACCAAGAAGAAGAUUUUCUUUUUCUUUUCUUUUCUCUCCAUCUCUCUCUCUCUCUCUCUCUCUCUCUCUCUCUCUCUCUCUCUCUCUCUCUCUCUCUCUCUCUCUCUCUCUCUUCCUUUAUGUUGUUUUUUUUUCCUCAGCCAAUCUCUCUCUCCCUCUCUUUCUUAUAAUGGAAAAGACCACAAACUCUUGUACAAACUUAUUUUGUACAAACUGACAUUGUAUUAAUUCAUUGGUUGAAUAAAAAUAUAAAAUAAUAAAAACAAAUCAUGUGGGACAUGUGAUAUUUAAUUCAAUCAAUCUUAUCAUGCCACAUCAGUUUGUACAAAAUAAGUUUAUAUAAGAGUUUGUAGCUAUAUCAUUGCUCUUAUUCUUUUUAUACUGGAGAAAAAAAUCACUAAAAAAACUUAAACACUCUUAGGAGAAUUAGAAUAUUACAUUAUGCACUUAAUUAGUCAUUAUUGAUUGGCUCCUUUUGAUUUCCUUAACUAUAUUACUCCCCAUUAAAACUAUGUUUUGGCAAAAGAAGCAGAGCAUCUAUAUACAUGAACGCUAACAAAUUUGAGAGAUAAAUCUCCAUAUUAAAUCACAAAUUAAAAUUAGGUUCAUGUUUGACAUAAAAUAGAAAAAUAGUUGAGAACUUCUAUUUCUAGUAAAAGGAGGGAGCAAAAAGAAAGAAAUUUUGGGAACAUUACUUAUAAUGCCUGUGGGUCUAUAGCGCCUCCUUCAACAAAUUUUGUGAACAUAAGAUAAGAGCACAAAUAAUGGCAUUGAUCUAUUGGGUGCUACCUCUUGGGUUGAAACAAAAGAUUUGGAAUUGGAAUCUUGCUCCCAUCCAUGAUGAGAAAUUGAGUUAUCAUAAUGUAAAUUUGUUUUUUUAAAAAAAGACAGUAAUUAUGGAGAUUUUAGUCUCUUCAUUUUACAAGAAACACAAGUAAUGAUAAUUAAGGUAAACCCUUUAAUUUAAGAUCUCAACCUAUUAAUAAAUCCAACCUCAAAUCUAGGAAGAGAAAAAUGAAGUUGAAAUCUUUUAAUGAUUGCUCUAAAGUUUGAAUUAGUAUCAACAUCACUCCUAAGAUUUUGCAUAAGUAGAGUUCAGGUGACAUUCAUUGGUAGGAAGUAUCAUUUUAAAAAAAAAAUUAUGUUGAAUAAAAUCAACUUUAAAAAUUCACAGUUGCUGUAAAUAUAGAUAGAUGAUACAGGAAGUAUAAAGAGGACAAUGCAGAAGAAGCAUUGUGUUAAUGUAUGAGAGAAUUAUUCCAUUCAAACUUUUGGUACAAACAUUACCAAGUUUAGCCCUCGUACUUAUAGUGCUAUUUGUCCAACCAUAAAUGGUAAAAGUUUCAGAACACAUGGCAUAAUUACAAAACUCACAUUAUCUCCACGUGUGGGCAUUCUUUACCACAAAAAUUUUCAUACAUAAAGGGCAUGUUUGGUUAUAAUAUUAAGGGGUAUUAAAAUACUAUUUACAUUAGCUUAAUACUAAUAUCAUGAUUGAUAAAAUUUUAUAAUGGAUUAAGAGGUAUGCUAGUGGGGCAAACUGCCGCAUUAGCUUUUGUGCUUUUGCAUUUGCUGCUUCUUCUUUUUUUUUUUUUUUACUUUUGCUUUUGCUUUUUUUAAUAAUAAUAAAAAAUAAUAUAACUUUUUAAUAUAAUAUAAAUUUUUAUUUUCUUUUAUUUUUAUAUCAUAAUUAUUAAUAUAAAUUUUUUUUUUAUUAUUCAUAUUUUAUUUUUAUUAUAUUAAAAAUAUUACUAAAUAAUGUAUUAUUUAAUUAUAUAAUAAUUAAUAUAUGAAAUUAAUUAAUAAGUACUUAAAUAAUAUAUAUAAAUAAGAAUAUAACUUGAUAUUACAUUAUUUAAUUAUAUUAUAGUAAUUAAUAUAUAAAAAUUUAAUAUAACUAAUCAAAAUAUUUAUAUAUGAAUAAAUUUAAAUAAUAUUAAUUUAAAAUAAAUGUUAUGUUGUCGAUUAUAAGGCUAUAAGCUUCAAUUUUUAUGGAAAAAUUAUUUUUUUAAUAUUUAUACUAAAAAAUAAUGUUAAAUUUCUAAAAUUUAAGACUUUUAUAUUUUAUAUUUUUCUAGGUACUAAUAAAUAUUAUUUUCUAAAUAUAUAAUUUAAGUUAAUCAAAAAAUAAUAAUACAAUACAGUGUAGCACCAAAUAUUAUACAACAUUAUUAUAAUACAGUGUUAAUGCAAUAUAACAUAAUAUAAUACACUAACAUUAAAAUAAUAUAAUACAAUAUAAUAUAAUAUAAUGUGUCAAACACAUCCAAAAAACUUAGUGUCGCGGACGGAAAGCUAACGAUCCCUUGCGGUACUCCCGCAUCCCGAGAGUAAGCCUAAAAUAAUUGAGCAUCACGAUUGCGAUCCGUGAUAUUAGUCUUCCAACAAAUAGCAGUAAUGCAGUAUGCGUAGCUUAUUUGCUAAGGUAAUAAGGUAUCUAUCAGACCUAUUUGCAUCAGAAUAGACUUACACUAGCUGGAAAUAUCAAACACUUGUUCAAUGCAAAUCUUACUUAACUAACCAAAUCGGCCAAUCACAAUGGUGGAUAGCCACUAAUAUCACAACAAUAACGAGUCCCAUAAAUUUUUACUAGAUAAUGAAAUAAAUAAUAAAAAAAAAAGUUAUGACCUCACAGAUUACGAGAUAACCAGUGAAAUUUUUUUAAAAAAAUACAAUAAAGACGAGCUCCAAGAUCGGACAAAAAAAAAAAAAAAGAGUAGCUGUUGCCGAUUUCGGUCAAUAAUAUUGGAGAAGAUUUCCCUUCAUCAUUUGUUUUAUCUUAUUUUCCUACCUACUACGUUGUCAGUAAAUAUACAAAAAUAACAGCCGCGUCAUGUGAUUUAUUUAUUUAUUUUUAAAAAUUUUGUGUCAUGUAUUUUUUAAUAUUUAAUAUAUAAUUAAUAUUUUUAUUAUUUUUAUUUUUUAACUUAUUAAUGACGAAUAACUUUUACUCAAAAUUAAUUUAAUUUGACCAUGACUCAGCCUCGUAAUCUUCUUUUUUUAUUGUGAGAAGCUCAUGAACAGUAAUGUGGCAAAGUGGCGGAAGUGUAGAGCUUGUUUUCUAAUUUAUACAGAGCCCUUUUUUUUUUGUGGGGGUAACACAUAGAUAUAUAUCAAACAAGGCCUGUGAGCAGUGAAUUUUACAAUAGACUCACUAUCAAUAUUAUUAAAUUUAUUGUUUCCUAUAUUAACAAUCAAACUAUCAUUUAUCCCAUUCGAUUCCAAAGAUGAUUAUUUAUGAGUUUCAUUAAUGAAAACGUUCGUUCUAGUAUUAUUAUAGAGAUUGGAAGAAUUAAUCAUAUUUUUGAGAAUAGAAAAUAUUUUAAGUGUUGGACUAUUAUUAUUUUUAAUUAAAAUAUAAGUUUUUAUAAUUCUUAAAAGUUAAAUUUCAAAUUUUAUAGGGGCUUAUAAUUUAUAGUGAUUAUUUUAAUAAAUUUUUUAUGGGGACUAAUUAGAAAAUUAAAAUAUUUUUCUUUUUUAAUUUAAAAUUUUUUUUGGCCAGUGGGGAGCUCAAGCCCCCACUGGUCGCAUGCUACAUCCGCCCAUGCUUGUGAGGUUGAUCCAUUUGAGAGAGAGAACAUGCAGAAAAGAGUAAAAGGAGAAAAAGAAAAACUAAUUUUUUAAUUAAUGAGUAUUUUGAAAGUUUCAACCCAUUUUUUCUUUAAUUAAAAAUUAAUUGUUGAAAAUAAAAAAAUAAAAUUUUUAUUGCCCACCGCCUCUUAGGGAUAGCAAAAUCCUCCACGGGUUUGGGGCCCCAUGGAGCCCCACCCCAAAUGGAAAAAAUUUUGAAUAAUUUUUGGGGAAUGGGGUGGGGAGUGGGGGAAAAAUAAUCCUCAAAUUCUUAAUGGGGUAGGGUUUGGUUUUGUACUCCCCACCCCAACCCCACCCCAAUCCUCAUUAUAUAUAAAUAUGUUUUUAAUUCUUGUUUAAUAAUUUUUAUUUUAUCAAUUAUAAUGUCAAUUAAUUUUUUUUAAAUUUUUAUGCAAUAUAAACAAGAUACGAAUGAAAGAAAAUCUUAUAAUAUUUUUCAACUCUGAAACAUUGUUAUAUUUUCUUUUCUCUUUUAAGGUGAUACGCUCUUUAAAUAUUUUUCACUUUUAAUAUCAUUUUAAGAUAUUGCUUCAAACUUUUAGAUUUUUUUAAAAGAAUUUAAAUACUUUAUAAUAUGAUGAUGAUUUUAUUUUAAGUCUCUAAUUUUUAACUUACUAAAAUAAUAUAUUUAUACAUAUUAUAAAAUAGAUAAAUGAGGAAUGGGGUGGGGAUGGGGAAAUCAUUCCCCACAUGGGGAUUCUCCAUCCCCACCCCACUAAAUUUACUGGGGAAUGGGGUGGGGAAUAGAUGCAAAAAUUUCUAACGGGGUGGGAAAUGGGGUAGGCCUCCCCACCCCCACCCCACCCCAUUGUCACCCCUCUGAAGACGAGUUGAAAAUAACAGUUUUACUGCAUUUUUAUAAAUAAUACAUUUUAAAAUGCCAAACACACUGCUCAUUUAUUUGAAUGUCAAAAAAGGGGAUCAUUAUUCACCCAAAAAAAAAAACACUACACCAACUAUGUAUAAUAUUUCAAAUUCGAAACAAAAGUUUUUUCAGUAUUCAUGAAAAUAAUUUCAAAAGAAGUGAAAUUAUCAUUGCACCAUUUUUUUUAUCUUAUGUUCAUCCAAUUACUACAAAAUUCUAAAAAAAUUUCUGCACCAAUUUUUUUUUUAAAAUAUAUAUCAAUUAGUCACUUUUGCACUAACACAGUUAAAUAAUUUAAAUGAAAUAAUAAUUUUACCCCUAAAUAAAUUAAAAGACUAUUUUAUCUUAUACAAACUUUGAAAAAUAAAAAAAUUAUAAUUAAAAAAAUACCCCUAAAUUUAAAAAAAUAAAUCCAAAAUAGAGGUGCUCAGUUGAUUUUUAUUAAAUUUAGAUUUUGUAAAAUUUUAAUAAUUAUUUUUAUUAAAAAUUAUAAUUUUUCAAAAUUUUAAUAAAAAUAACUGAAUUUAUUUAUUAAAAAAUUAUAAUUUUGUAAAAUUUUAUUAAAAUAACUGAAGUUAUUUCUUAAAAGAAUAAAUCCUAAAAUUUUAAUAAUUUAGGGGAUUUUUAGUAAAUCCCAAAAUUUUACAAUUAUUUUUAUAAUUAUAAUUUUAUCUGCUGUACCGUACAUCCGCCUUGGCCGUACUACUUUAUAAUAUGAUGAUGAUUUUAUUUUAAGUCUCUAAUUUUUAACUUACUAAAAUAAUAUAUUUAUACAUAUUAUAAAAUAGAUAAAUGAGGAAUGGGGUGGGGAUGGGGAAAUCAUUCCCCACAUGGGGAUUCUCCAUCCCCACCCCACUAAAUUUACUGGGGAAUGGGGUGGGGAAUAGAUGCAAAAAUUUCUAACGGGGUGGGAAAUGGGGUAGGCCUCCCCACCCCCACCCCACCCCAUUGUCACCCCUCUGAAGACGAGUUGAAAAUAACAGUUUUACUGCAUUUUUAUAAAUAAUACAUUUUAAAAUGCCAAACACACUGCUCAUUUAUUUGAAUGUCAAAAAAGGGGAUCAUUAUUCACCCAAAAAAAAAAACACUACACCAACUAUGUAUAAUAUUUCAAAUUCGAAACAAAAGUUUUUUCAGUAUUCAUGAAAAUAAUUUCAAAAGAAGUGAAAUUAUCAUUGCACCAUUUUUUUUAUCUUAUGUUCAUCCAAUUACUACAAAAUUCUAAAAAAAUUUCUGCACCAAUUUUUUUUUUAAAAUAUAUAUCAAUUAGUCACUUUUGCACUAACACAGUUAAAUAAUUUAAAUGAAAUAAUAAUUUUACCCCUAAAUAAAUUAAAAGACUAUUUUAUCUUAUACAAACUUUGAAAAAUAAAAAAAUUAUAAUUAAAAAAAUACCCCUAAAUUUAAAAAAAUAAAUCCAAAAUAGAGGCUGUACGGCCAAGGCGGAUGUACGGUACAGCAGUUUUUAAANNNNNNNNNNNNNNNNNNNNNNNNNNNNNNNNNNNNNNNNNNNNNNNNNNNNNNNNNNNNNNNNNNNNNNNNNNNNNNNNNNNNNNNNNNNNNNNNNNNNNNNNNNNNNNNNNNNNNNNNNNNNNNNNNNNNNNNNNNNNNNNNNNNNNNNNNNNNNCCGUACAGCAGCAAAAUUUUAUUUAUUUAGGAGAUUUUUAUUAAAUCUCAAAAUUUAGUAAUUAUUUUCAUAAUUAUAAUUUUUUAUUAAAAUAAGUUUUAUUAAGAGUAAAAAAUCUAAUUUUUGGAUUUAUUUCUUUAUUAAAUGUAGGGGUAUUUUUAGAAUUAUAAUUUUUUUAUUUUCAAAGCUUUUACAAGAUAAAGUAAUCUUUUAAUUUAUUUAGGGAUAAAAUUAUUAUUUUGUUUAAAUGUUGUGUUGAGAACAUGUUAGAAUUUUAUGAUAGUUGGAUGAACAUAAGGUAGAAGAAAGGUGGUGCAAUGAUAAUUUUUCAAAAAUAAAAUGCAAACAAUGCCGGACGAAACCUUAUUGCCUCGAAGACAAGGUCUUUAUUAUAGUAUAUUUUAAUGAAUCAAACUACCAAGUUUCAUGUGCCAAAGAUUUACUGUGAUAUUCUUAUUAAAGAUUCUUUUCUAAGUUCUAAUAUCAAACCUUGUAUCUGCGUUGCACACAAGUUUCUGUAUUCAAUCGGAUAGGAAUCUCUGCACACGGAGUAUUUUUCAUUUUUCGUACUCGUGAUAUUUGUUAAUCCAGACAUAUUUUCUUGGUUUUCAUUUUCUUGAUCAAUUAUAAGAUUUUGUUUAGGAUCCGACUAUAAUGGAGAUGCUCCACCAUAUAAUACGAGCAAAAUUAUAAUAUAUAUUUUAUUAUUUAUCAAUUUAAUCAUAUAGUUAUGUAGGAGUGUUCAACAGCAUAGCAUCUCCAACAUAAUUAUUACCUUUUGUUUAAUAUGCAUUGAUUUGAACAAGUUUUCUAGGGAUGGCAAUGGGGGCAGAUAUAGGUUGGAUCUACUCUGCUUCAGAUCUAAAUCCAUAAAAAAAUUAAGAUCCGUAUCUACUACAAAUCUGUCAUGAAUCCAUAUUUUUUGCUCUAUAUCCGGAUUCAAAAAGAAAUAAAUAUCUAUAUCUGCUCCAAAUAAAAAAAAAAAUCCAAAUCUGCUCUAGAUCCGUCAUGAAUUCUAAAACUCAGCAAUAAAAAAGUAAUAAUUUUUUAGAAUGAAAAUUGAAGGCCAAAAUGUAUUGAUAACAAAUAAGUUAUAUAAUUUUUCUAAAAAAUAUAAUAAAUAUUGUAGCUUAUACUUUUACACCAUAACAACAAAUAAGAAAGAUAAUAAAAUAUCCUUCAAAAGUAAUUGUAGGAGUAAGAUCAAUAUAAUAUUUUAUUAUCUCCUUCAUUAUUCUAAUAUCCAUGACACACCCACCCUUAUUCCUACAACAUUAGAUAAUGACAUAUAAAUUAAAUAUGAUUUAUAUUCAAUACUUUAUUAUUUUUAUUAUGGCCAUAUUUGACUAAAUAUAUGAAUAACUAUAUUCCUUAAAAAUUAUUUGGCUAAUAAAGUAAAAUAAAUUGACAGGUUAUAUGCCAUAUUUGACUAAAUAUAUGCGUUUUAAGAGUUUAAAUGCGUGAUAAAUACCACUAAUAUGUUAUGAAUAAAAUUUAUUAUAUUAUAAUUCCACAAUUGUUAAGAAACUUUUAAAAUAAAAUAAAAUUAAAAGAUGGGCGGAUAUGGAUAUGAAUUUGGAUAUUAAAAUAGAUCUAGACUUGCUUCAGAUCCGUCUUAAAUCCAAAUAUCGAUAUCUAAAUCCGAUUCAAAUUCAUUUUAAACCGACGCAAAUAUGAUCCGAUUGAAUUUAAAUCAUGUGAAUGUUAGAUCAGAUCCAAUCUAUUGUCAUCCCUAAGGUUUUUUAACUUUUCCAGGGAUUUCAAUAAGAGUAGUUAGUGAUUUCCUCUUUUUCUAGUAAUUAAUUUGGCGUUAUUUCAUGCGGCUUUGAUUUGAAUUUAGUUGUGACUUGUGAAGUACCAAUUUCGAUUCAUUUUUUGUUGCUUUCCUUGUGUAAAUCCAAGUCAAUACGCGGUUGCAAUUUUGUCUUUUGCAUUCAAUUUGGCCUAUUAACAAUGCCUUAGAUUUGACCUAGAUUUGAUCCUUUUCGUCUCAAACGAAUUAUUUAUUAUUUUUUGUCUAUUAAAAGAUGUGUUCAAAAUUGAUUUUUACAUUUUAAUAUUUUAACAUAACAACUGCAAAAAGAAAAAACGACAAAUAGAAGAAGAUGAAGUAGACGAAGACAAAGAAGAAGAUUAAAGGACAGAAGAAGAAGGAGAAGACUACAAAAAAUACUUUCUAUUUUAAAUAAAAAGUAAUACAAUAUACUAAAAGUAUUGAUUUCCUGGAUUUGCUAACUCACAUCUCAUGUAACUAAGAAUGCCUCUAAAACAUGCAAAAAGUCAUAACAUUCAAGGGGGAUCCACUUGAACUUUGCAAGAGCUGUAAGUUACAUGAAGGACUCAUUGUUUAAUUAGCUAUUGUUUAAGAGAUUAGAAAUAAAUUUUUUAGGGUUUAUGGAAAGAGAAUUAUAUAUUAAAUAACAAGUGUGUUAUAUGAAUGUUCAGAAUCUUUAUAUGUUAGUUUAUAAGAGAGAGUACAUAUUAAUAAUUCAUAUGAUGAGCAUUUUUGUAAUAAAAUAAUUUAUUAAAAUAAGAGGUACUCAGAAUAUUUUUAAAGUACAAAUAAAUUCACUCAAACAUAAUUUAGUUUUUUUUUUCCUUCUGAAACUCACUCUUCAGUUUUUAUCACUGCCAUAACUAAAUGCAAUUUCAAGAACCUAAAGAAUAUAGUCCUAAUGAUACAAAUGAAAUUUCAAAUAAUAUCAUAAUCAUUUCUUAAUCUGAGCUAUUAUGAACUUGUAAAAAUCAUGAGCCAUCUAUCUUUUAGCGUUAAUGUAUAAUUAAGAUUUAGGCCCAAUUUGAUAAUUUUGUAAUUUUUUUAAAUAAUUGUUAUUAAUUAUGUUAUAGAAAUAAUCAACUAUAGAAAGAAUCAGUUAAACAUUUAGUAAAAUUUACUUUUAAAAAUGUUGUGAGUUUUAAAAGCAGUCAUAUGUUUUUGUAAAUUUUACUAUUAAAUUAUUAUAAGAAUGUAAAUGACUAAAUUAAAUAUAAUAUUGAAUAAAUUUUAUUUAUGCAUUUAUAAAUAUGUUUAUAAAUUAUUUUAUUAUUGUGUAUAUAUUAUAAUUAAUAACCAAAAUAAAUAGUUUAUGUUAUUAGUUUUAUUUAUUAUUUUGUUAUCUCAAUAUAAUUGAUGAUGAUGAUAAUAAUAAUCUCAUUAAAGUUAGUGAUUUUAUUUCUAAACCAAUAAGAAUAAUUUUGAAUUUUUAUGAUACAUAUGACAAUAUAUAUACAAUUGUUUUAAGUAUAAAACUGAUUUUUAGAAUCAAUAUUAAAAGCUACGACUUCCCGAUUAUUCAAAAUUUGUUUUAGGAUGAGGUGAUCUUGGUAAAAGUGAUUUUUAAAAUUUUUAUCAGAUACUAAAAUUAAUUUUUAUUUAUUAAAAAUUACUUAUGAGCUUUCCUAAAAUAAUUCUAAAAAAACCCUUAAUCACUUUUAUUUUUUAAUUUAUUAACUACUCGUCAUAAAAAUAAAUUUACUCAAACACACACACACACACACACAUAUAUAGCUACAAACUCUUUUAUAAUUUUUUUUUACAAACUUACAUGACAUGUUUUAAUUAUUUAGAUUAAAUAUCUCUUGAUUCGUAUGAUUUAUUUAUUAUUUUAUAUUUUUAUUCAAUUAAUGAAUUAAUAUCAAAUUAAUUUGUACAAAAUAAAUUUAUUUAAGAGUUUGUAGUUAUAAGAUCGGUCAAUGUGUUUAUAUAUAAGUGGGCACUGCAGCCUCGUAUGCCAUGUGCACUUUGAUUCCUCUUCUUUGAAAAAUGAAAAUGAAAAAAGAGGUAAGCAUCCCAGAGGCUCCUUUGGGCUCCACCGGCAAAACCAUACCUCUUGUUGGUUUCGGCACGGCCCAAUUUCCUUUCGGAGCAGCCACUGAAGUAGUAAAAGAAUCUGUUGUGCAUGCAAUAGAAGUCGGCUACAGACACUUCGACACCGCCGCAAUAUACCAGUCCGAGCAGCCUCUUGGGGAAGCAAUAGCCGAAGCGUUGCGUCUUGGGCUCAUCAAAUCACGCAAUGAGCUCUUUAUCACUUCAAAGCUUUGGCUCGGCCACGCACACCGUCAACUUGUCCUCCCUGCGCUACAAACUUCUCUCAAGUAACUAAAUUAAAUUAAUUACAAGCUAGCUUAUUGCCAUUGCCUAGCUGCAGGCAAGUAUCAUCUAUGGUUUAAGGUUGACUGAUUGGUUGCUGACGUUAUUGAUAAUUUAUUUUUGCAGGAAUCUGGGAUUGGAGUAUAUUGAUUUGUAUCUGAUUCAUUUUCCGGGAAGCUUGAAGCCUGGAACAGGGUUCCCAUUCAAUAAAGAAGAUAUUGUGCCACUUGAUUAUGAGGCUGUUUGGGAGGCCAUGGAGGAGUGUCAAAAUCUCGGCCUCACUAAAUCCAUUGGAGUCAGCAACUUUGCUUGCAAGAAACUUGAGAGGUUACUUGCUACAGCCAAAAUCCCUCCUGCUGUCAAUCAAGUGAGUCCAGUAAUAUUGAUUAAUUAUAUGUAUUUCAAAUUUAAUUAAAAUAGAAUUGUUUAAUUAUGUUUUAAAAUGGAAGUUGAAUUCCCUCCGGCUGUCAAUCACGUGGGGCGGUGUCACUAUGUUGCCAUGUUCAGCCAUAUAUUAACACUUGGAAGGAGAAAUACAUAAUAUUAAGGUUGGCAUUAAGUUACGUUGAGUGUAAUUUGCGCCUCUCACAGCAACAGUAUCCGGUCUCAUUAUUGGUACUGUUGUUGUGAGAGGCCCAUAAGUUACACUCAACGUAACUUAGGACCUCCCUAAUAUUAACGUUGAAAUCAAACUGUACGGUAUAAAAUAUUUCUCCUAUGGCAGCUGAUUUAAGUUAAAAAUAUUAAUCAUGAUUAUUUGGGUAGGUCGAGUUGAACCCAGUUUGGCAACAAAAGAAGCUGAGAGUUUUCUGCGAGAAGAAAGGAAUUCAUAUUACUGCCUACUCGCCAUUAGGAGCCAAAGGAACAAGAUGGGGAACCAAUCGAGUCAUGGAAUGUCAGGUGCUGAAAGAGAUUGCAAACGCUAGAGGAAAGUCUGUUGCUCAGGUAAUUUUUUCUUUUUUUCAAAUUUUUAUUCGAGUUUGACAAACAUAAUUUGGUUGUAAAUGCUCACUACGUGGCACAAGAUCGAAGUGGCAUCUUUUAUGUUGAUCUUAUUGGGAAAAAUCAGGUUUUUAAAUUUUUAUAAAACCUUUUGAGGACCGCUCUCAUAUAAUAUAUAGGAAUACGUAAUCCAGAAAUCGUACCUUGAAAAUCUGAGUUGGGUUUUUCCGCUGAAGUGAUUUAGGCUCCUAGAUCACGAUCCGCCACCACCACUCCUGUUAAAUCACGAUCCGUCAAGAUCUGUAUCAAGUGGCUUCUUUUUUUUUCUUUAGAGAAAAAUAAACCUUAUAUAUUUCCCUUUAGUGAAAACCCUAGGCUCCAAAUAAUGCCCUAAAUAAAACUCACGUUUAUUUACUUUUUCAAUAGGGGACCUACCUUGUAAAAUAACAUAAGGCCCCUUAUACAAAAGCUAAUUAAAUGGAGCCUCCCACUAAAUGAUAUAUUUAGGCUUUUGACCCAAAUCGCUAGUUAUCUUACUUAUUAGUCCAGUAGUGGUGCAGUCAAUUAAAUGAGCUAACCCGGGGAUCAUUUGGGAACAUACAAUAGUGGCUACAAUAAUUAGGCCUGUAAUUAAACUAGCCCAAUUAUUUAAUUCCAAAUCUACUCCACUAAAAGAUUGGAACUGACUUCCAUAAUUGUAUGCUCGAAUAAUAAUUCGUCCCAAGCCACAUUGAUUUCUUUACUGCACAAUCCUUUGUACCACAUCGUUAAUUAAAUUGAUAUCUCAACUGUCCAAUCAAUUUAAUAACAUCUUAUUCCUGCUGUACGGCCAAGGCGGAUGUACGGUACAGCAGAUGCAACUAAUAGAGAAAAAGGUAGAUUUCACUAUAUUAAUAGAUAAAAAAUCAUAACCUCUAAUGUAUUAAAAUUUAUAAUUUUUUAUAUUGUAAUGAUAUUGUCACCAGAGAAUGAGUAGAUUUGUAAUUUAGAAUUUUGGAUUAUAUUUAUAAUAUGAGAGAGUCGGAUAGUUUAUAUUUUAGUUAAAUAAUUAAUUUCGACAUAUGGUCCCAUACGGUAGAGAUUUUGUAAUAUUUAAAAAUUAAAAAAUAUAUAUCUUAAAGCUGUGCAAUCGGAUGUAUAUUUAAAAUUAAAAAUUAAAAUAGUUCCUUCUAGAUUACGCAAAUAAUUCCGAAAACAGCUCUCCAAUGUACUUUCGAUUCCAUAUUUUUUUUUCCUUGUGAUCAAAUCGGAUGUAUCGAACCGACGUCGCACCUGAAAUGAAAAUAUCGUCAUUGCAUUUAUUUGGAAAUUUAUUUGCAUUUGCCAAUUAGAGAAAAAGUCAUCUUGCGGAAGACUUUUUGACUAAAAACGAUGCGUGCCCAGGCCAGCUAAGACAUUAAUCAUCCCUUUCAUUUGACUAUAAGGUUUGUUUUGGUGCGCUUGAAGGUUUCUUUGAGGUGGGUUUAUCAGCAAGGAGUGAGUUUGGUCGUGAAAAGCUUCAAUAAAGAAAGAAUGAAAGAAAACCUCGACAUAUUUGAUUGGGAAUUAAGUGCCGAGGAGCUGCAAAAGAUCGAACAAAUUCCACAGUAUAGAGGAAGUCGCGCUGAGGUGCACGUGUCAGAGGAUGGUCCUUAUAAAUCCUUGGAGGAUCUAUGGGAUGGAGAAAUUUAAU
This 15054-nucleotide long non-coding RNA is filed under the name Citrus sinensis (sweet orange). RNAcentral describes it as "long non-coding RNA (CSIN_LNC004432)". The record is from RNAcentral. Lineage: Eukaryota; Viridiplantae; Streptophyta; Magnoliopsida; Sapindales; Rutaceae.